RNAcentral lists this ribosomal RNA (323 nucleotides) under Salmonella enterica subsp. enterica serovar Typhimurium. RNAcentral's name for it is "partial 23S ribosomal RNA". It matches the Rfam family "Bacterial large subunit ribosomal RNA", at positions 1598 to 1905 of the family's 2925-position model. Lineage: Bacteria; Pseudomonadati; Pseudomonadota; Gammaproteobacteria; Enterobacterales; Enterobacteriaceae. The record is from RNAcentral.
UACCACGCUUCCAGGAAAAGCUCCUAAGCUUCAGCUUACGCAGACCGUACCGUAAACCGACACAGGUGGGUAGGAUGAGAAUUCUCAGGCGCUUGAGAGAACUCGGGUGAAGGAACUAGGCAACAUGGCACCGUAACUUCGGGAGAAGGUGCACCCUUUUUGGUGGCUCGUGCGAGCUAUAGCUGAAGAGGGUCGCAGUAACCAGGCCGCUGCGACUGUUUAUCAAAAACACAGCACUCUGCAAACACGAAAGUGGACGUAUAGGGUGUGACGCCUGCCCGGUGCUGGAAGGUUAAUUGAUGGGGUCAGCCGCAAGGCGAAGC